Molecule: long non-coding RNA, 842 nt
Organism: Carassius auratus (goldfish)
Lineage: Eukaryota; Metazoa; Chordata; Actinopteri; Cypriniformes; Cyprinidae
Exons: 3
Source: RefSeq, a predicted model, not a curated record
UUUUGAAGUUGAGUUACUUAUUGACCUGGUCAUCAAUCCAAAACUAUAAAAAAAGAUCUGUUUGUUUGUUAGACUGUGGAAAGGGCAAAGUGGCUGCAGACACAUCAGACUUUACCUCAGCUGCUCCUGCUCCUGAGUCUAAUGGAUGAGAAUGGACAUGGUGGACUGGUCAGGGGACAUCCUGCCACUGGUGGCCCAGGAGCCCAGUGCAUUGGUGGACUUGCUCUACAAACAAAACAGUGGUGUUCUGGACCUGAUCUUUGCCUUGGAACAUAACCUAAGUGGAACCUAAAACACUGGAUCAGAUACGGUCAUUGACCAACAACAGGGACCGUGUCUCAGCCAUUGUAGAUUACUUCAGGAACUCAGACCAGAAAUUAUGUAUACGGUUUCUUUCCACUGUAUGUCAGUACUGUGACAACAUUCCCUUUCUUGUUUGUUCUUGGAUUUGACCGAUUGGGUGUGAAGGAAUACGUUUAACAGUACUUCCAUAAAAAAGGAGAAGAACUCAAAAAGAAGGCUGUAAACUUGCUGAUGGACAACCGACACUUCUUGUCAAUGUCUCACGUACCCGGAAUCUGUCAUAUUUGCUGUGUAUGUAUAGAUCAUCUGUUCUCCAGUGAUGGAACUGAUCUACAGCUACCAACUUCCUUAACCCAAAUCUACAUGCAGAUCCUCUUGGCAUUCCUCAAACGCUUAAAUCGAGGUGUGGUGUCUAGUACAUAUUCACUGCAGAGAUACAGAGCUAAAAUUGUUGAGAUGAGCCUGUUGGCUCUCAGAGGACUGGAGGAAAGCACUAUAGUCUUCAGGGACACGGAUGUGUCUCCAGAACUCCAGGAUUU